UAGGGAAUCUUCCGCAAUGGACGAAAGUCUGACGGAGCAACGCCGCGUGAGUGAAGAAGGAUUUCGGUUCGUAAAACUCUGUUGUUAGGGAAGAAAAAAUGUAUAGUAACUAUAUACAAAAGAGACGGUACCUAACCAGAAAGCCACGGCUAACUACGUGCCAGCAGCCGCGGUAAUACGUAGGUGGCAAGCGUUGUCCGGAAUUAUUGGGCGUAAAGCGCGCGCAGGUGGUUUAGAAAGUCUGAUGUGAAAGCCCACGGCUCAACCGCGGAGGGUCAUUGGAAACUAAUAAACUUGAGUGCAGGAGAGAAAAGUGGAAUUCCUAGUGUAGCGGUGAAAUGCGUAGAGAUUAGGAGGAACACCGGUGGCGAAAGCGGCUUUUUGGCCUGCAACUGACACUGAGGCGCGAAAGCGUGGGGAGCAAACAGG
Molecule: ribosomal RNA, 429 nt
Filed under: Verrucomicrobiota bacterium
Lineage: Bacteria; Pseudomonadati; Verrucomicrobiota
Description: Verrucomicrobia bacterium partial 16S ribosomal RNA
Rfam family: Bacterial small subunit ribosomal RNA
Source: RNAcentral